This is a long non-coding RNA of Microplitis mediator, 1375 nucleotides long. RefSeq lists it as uncharacterized. NCBI's taxonomy places the organism in Eukaryota, Metazoa, Arthropoda, Insecta, Hymenoptera, Braconidae. The transcript is spliced from 3 exons. The record is from RefSeq and is a predicted model, not a curated record.
UAUCUCAACUCUAUCAAAAUCAUAUACUAAUGUUUACUAAUGCUAAUAAUUUCUCGUUAUUUAAUUUAAUCUAUAAAUUUUAUCCAUUUGAUUUCGAAGUGAUCAGAAAAAUAUGGAGCUUUUUCGUUUACGUCAAAACAUUUUUUUAAUUGGCGAUGUUGACGUCCAAAUAGUGGGUAAUAAAUUACCAUCGAAAUUGCAAGCUUGAAAGUGUUUUUUUUUUCAUACACGUAUUUUAAAUACUUCUAUCCCAGAAGGUAUUGCUGCAGUCAUUGAUGAAAUUAUUGUGUUUUGGAAAAAAGCUCAAAUUCCUGUUCAAGAUGUGCAAAGAUGCCGAGAUAAACUGAAAAAAUUCUACGAUGAGUGGCGCAUACUUGUCAACGCACAAAAUUCGGAGUGACGUGGCUGUAAAAAACAACAUGAAUUUGUAUGUUCAUUGAAAAAAUUAUUUGACAUUGCACCGUCAAAUGAAUUUGACGUUAUCGAUGAAAAUUCUAAAGAAUCCUUGAUUAAUCAAAGAUCAGAUGAACGCAUUGGUUUUAUUGCAAAUAUUAAAACGAGAUAUGAUGACGAUGAUAAUGAUAAUAAAUUGAACAAAAAAAUCCAGUUAGAAAAACAAAAAAAAAACAGAGUGAAGAAGAAAAAACAUUAUUAGACAAAAAUGUUGAACUUUUAUCUAGCCAAGGAAGUGCGCUAUCUGCAUCGGGUGGAGAAAUAUACUUUUCAAGUACUAUCAGAUUAUCAGAAUAAAAAAAAAACAAGAGGAAGUGAUGAUAUUAUCAGCGAAAGAGUUGUAGCUACAUUAGAUCGGUGUAAAGUAACCCUGGCGAUUUUAGCGCCACGGUGACCUUACAGUAAAAACACCGUUAAAACACCGUGGAACGACUGUGAAAACGUGGUUGUAAUGCAGUGAAAUCACGGUAUUUUUUGUGCAGUCACGCCACUGUAUUCCGACCGCGUUUCCAUUGCACUUAAAGAGUGUUUCCACGGUGUUUCGAUCGUAAGGUCACAGUAAUCUCACGGUGGUUUUACGGUAAAACCACCGUAAAACUACGGUGCGCUCCACAGUGGUUUUCAGCGAUAUCCACGUAAGUUCAUCGUUCCAUGGUGUGUCUAUAAAUUUUAUAGCGAAAAAAAAAAAAAUUCACGCCGACUCGGUGGAUCGAUCCCAGCGCCUUCGCAUUCAAAGUCUGAUCUGCUAUCCACUGUGCCAAAUCACACACUUGAAAGAAUAGAUUGAUUGUAUUUACAUAAACACAAAUGAACUUUGGAAAAUUAAAGAUAUCUAAUAAAUGAUUGAUUUUCUGAUUUGUAUUACAUUCAAUUAUAUAAUUGUUUAUAGGGUAACGAGACCAAUACCGGUAUACCCACUAGU